UCAGGAUGAACGCUGGCGGCGUGCUUAACACAUGCAAGUCGAACGAAGCCAAAAGGAAGCUUGCUUUCUUGAAGCUUAGUGGCGGACGGGUGAGUAACGCGUGAGUAACCUGCCCUUCAGUGGGGAAUAACACAGAGAAAUCUGUGCUAAUACCGCAUAACGUCUUCUUGCCGCAUGACAGGAAGACCAAAGGAUUUAUUCGCUGAAAGAUGGACUCGCGUCCGAUUAGCUAGUUGGUGAGGUAACGGCCCACCAAGGCGACGAUCGGUAGCCGAACUGAGAGGUUGAUCGGCCACAUUGGGACUGAGACACGGCCCAGACUCCUACGGGAGGCAGCAGUGGGGAAUAUUGGGCAAUGGGCGAAAGCCCUGACCCAGCAACGCCGCGUGAAGGAAGACGGUCUUCGGAUUGUAAACUUCUUUGAUUGGGGAAGAAACAAAUGACCUACCCAAAGAACAAGUCACGGCUAACUACGUGCCAGCAGCCGC
This 488-nucleotide ribosomal RNA is filed under the name uncultured bacterium. RNAcentral describes it as "bacterial SSU rRNA". It matches the Rfam family "Bacterial small subunit ribosomal RNA", at positions 24 to 518 of the family's 1533-position model. The record is from RNAcentral.